RNAcentral lists this transfer RNA (76 nucleotides) under Rhizobium ruizarguesonis. RNAcentral describes it as "tRNA-Met". It matches the Rfam family "tRNA". From Rfam's summary of the family: Transfer RNA (tRNA) molecules are approximately 80 nucleotides in length. Lineage: Bacteria; Pseudomonadati; Pseudomonadota; Alphaproteobacteria; Hyphomicrobiales; Rhizobiaceae. The record is from RNAcentral.
GGGCCUGUAGCUCAAUGGUUAGAGCCGGCGACUCAUAACCGCUUGGUUGGGGGUUGGCGUCCUUCCGGACCCACCA